Molecule: ribosomal RNA, 450 nt
Filed under: uncultured bacterium
Lineage: Bacteria
Description: partial 16S ribosomal RNA
Rfam family: Bacterial small subunit ribosomal RNA
Source: RNAcentral
GUGGGGAAUUUUGGACAAUGGGCGCAAGCCUGAUCCAGCAAUGCCGCGUGCAGGAAGAAGGCCUUCGGGUUGUAAACUGCUUUUGUACGGAACGAAACGUUCCUGGUUAAUACCCGGGGCUAAUGACGGUACCGUAAGAAUAAGCACCGGCUAACUACGUGCCAGCAGCCGCGGUAAUACGUAGGGUGCAAGCGUUAAUCGGAAUUACUGGGCGUAAAGCGUGCGCAGGCGGUGCUGUAAGACAGGCGUGAAAUCCCCGGGCUUAACCUGGGAAUUGCGCUUGUGACUGCAGUGCUGGAGUGCGGCAGAGGGGGAUGGAAUUCCGCGUGUAGCAGUGAAAUGCGUAGAUAUGCGGAGGAACACCGAUGGCGAAGGCAAUCCCCUGGGCCUGCACUGACGCUCAUGCACGAAAGCGUGGGGAGCAAACAGGAUUAGAUACCCUGGUAGUCC